Triticum urartu is the source of this 411-nucleotide non-coding RNA. The record is from RefSeq and is a predicted model, not a curated record. Lineage: Eukaryota; Viridiplantae; Streptophyta; Magnoliopsida; Poales; Poaceae.
ACUUCAAAGGGAAGCCCUUUUAGUGAAGCAAGAAUUGAGCUUUGUCUUGCAACAGGAGGCCCCUGAUAGGAACAACCAACUUCUGGAAUGGCCCGAACAAGAGAAUAUUCAUGUUUCACCUCGGCGCAUGGACUCCGGAUUCAAAGUUUUACAGGAGAUGGCCCAUCUGUAUGAAACUAUCGGGAAUGACAUCGUUCAUAACAUGCCUAGGACUGAUGAUCCACAAAGUCUCAGGAAGCGACUAAUGGUCCAGAUGCUGAUGGUCAGGGAGAAUGAAGCAAAGGAUAACAUUCCAGAUCAAGUUAGAGCAGCGUUGAGAUUUAUUGGUGGCUAAGGAGGACUGCUGCAUCGAUAAAUACCUAAAAAUAUUGUCAUGUUUAGUUGCUUGCUAGGUAAUAAUCUGUUUGAAUG